CCUUCGCUAAAACGGAACAGCUCCACAUAACAACCCCUCGCUCCCUCACCCGCCCUCCGGCUUACGGGUGCAGCUCACUCUUUCUCUCUAGACCUAUUGGUGUAGUAUGGCAUCUGUAACUAUAAUUCAAAAAAAUACAGAAAAAGACUCGCACACCUCAUUCGUUAACACUAGCUCAUUGUCCUCCCGAGUUUGGAAGACUCCAUGACACCUCUUAGAAAGUUGCACUCCAUAAAGCUUUCUCACCUUCCCCGCACCGCCGAUGGACCUCUUUAAUCCGAUCAGCAGACCUGCAUAUCCCGCUGCAGGUCCAAUCAAAUGAAGCAACACAGAUGUUGCCAGCCUGCGCCUUCCACUCGCAAUCUGGUGGGGUUCCACAACAUAGUCUCCGAUCAUCAAUGUGCUCUGCAUCUAGUCCAAUAAACCAAGAUCCCAAUGAAACAUCCUCAUUAGCAUACUU
RNAcentral lists this unclassified non-coding RNA (460 nucleotides) under Hevea brasiliensis (rubber tree). The record is from RNAcentral. Lineage: Eukaryota; Viridiplantae; Streptophyta; Magnoliopsida; Malpighiales; Euphorbiaceae.